RNAcentral lists this ribosomal RNA (254 nucleotides) under uncultured bacterium. RNAcentral's name for it is "partial 16S ribosomal RNA". It matches the Rfam family "Bacterial small subunit ribosomal RNA", at positions 524 to 775 of the family's 1533-position model. The record is from RNAcentral.
UACAGAGGGUGCAAGCGUUAAUCGGAAUUACUGGGCGUAAAGCGUGCGCAGACGGUUGCGUAAGUCAGAUGUGAAAGCCCCGGGCUCAACCUGGGAAUUGCAUUUGAGACUGCGUAGCUAGGGUGCGGAAGAGGGAAGCGGAAUUUCCGGUGUGAGCGGUGAAAUGCGUAGAUAUCGGAAGGAACACCAGUGGCGAAAAGCGGCUUCCUGGUCCAGCACCGACGUUCAGGCACGAAAGCGUGGGGAGCAACAGG